GAUGAACGCUGGCGGCGUGCCUAAUACAUGCAAGUCGAGCGAACGGACGAGAAGCUUGCUUCUCUGAUGUUAGCGGCGGACGGGUGAGUAACACGUGGAUAACCUACCUAUCAGACUGGGAUAACUUCGGGAAACCGGAGCUAAUACCGGAUGAUCUUUUGAACCGCAUGGUUCAAAAGUGAAAGACGGUCUUGCUGUCACUUAUAGAUGGAUCCGCGCUGCAUUAGCUAGUUGGUAAGGUAACGGCUUACCAAGGCAACGAUGCAUAGCCGACCUGAGAGGGUGAUCGGCCACACUGGAACUGAGACACGGUCCAUACUCCUACGGGAGGCAGCAGUAGGGAAUCUUACGCAAUGGGCGAAAGCCUGACGGAGCAACGCCGCGUGAGUGAUGAAGGUCUUCGGAUCGUAAAACUCUGUUAUUAGGGAAGAACAUAUGUGUAAGUAACUGUGCACAUCUUGACGGCACCUAAUCAGAAAGCCACGGCUAACUACGUG
This 497-nucleotide ribosomal RNA is filed under the name uncultured bacterium. RNAcentral describes it as "partial 16S ribosomal RNA". It matches the Rfam family "Bacterial small subunit ribosomal RNA", at positions 28 to 507 of the family's 1533-position model. The record is from RNAcentral.